CCUACGGGUGGCAGCAGUGAGGAAUAUUGGUCAAUGGACGAGAGUCUGAACCAGCCAAGUAGCGUGAAGGAUGACUGCCCUAUGGGUUGUAAACUUCUUUUAUAAAGGAAUAAAACGAGGCACGUGUGCCUUUUUGCAUGUACUUUAUGAAUAAGGAUCGGCUAACUCCGUGCCAGCAGCCGCGGUAAUACGGAGGAUCCGAGCGUUAUCCGGAUUUAUUGGGUUUAAAGGGAGCGUAGAUGGGUUGUUAAGUCAGUUGUGAAAGUUUGCGGCUCAACCGUAAAAUUGCAAUUGAUACUGGCAGUCUAGAGUACAGUUGAGGUAGGCGGAAUUCGUGGUGUAGCGGUGAAAUGCUUAGAUAUCACGAAGAACCCCGAUUGCGAAGGCAGCUUACUAAACUGUGACCGACAUUGAUGCUCGAAAGUGUGGGUAUCAAACAGGAUUAGAUACCCGUGUAGUC
RNAcentral lists this ribosomal RNA (460 nucleotides) under uncultured bacterium. Its description in RNAcentral is "partial 16S ribosomal RNA". It matches the Rfam family "Bacterial small subunit ribosomal RNA", at positions 338 to 795 of the family's 1533-position model. The record is from RNAcentral.